RNAcentral lists this long non-coding RNA (3874 nucleotides) under Brassica napus (rape). RNAcentral's name for it is "long non-coding RNA (BNAP_LNC000659)". Lineage: Eukaryota; Viridiplantae; Streptophyta; Magnoliopsida; Brassicales; Brassicaceae. The record is from RNAcentral.
UUUUUAAGAAAAUUAUUUAAAAAUACAACAUAUUGAUGAAAAACUCAGAAAAAAUACUCAUCUAUCCACAAAUAUUCUUGUUAUCCUAAUUUUUAAAUCACAAACCCUAAUCUAGAGUAUUUCUCUAAAAAAUGAAAACUUUUCAAAAAUAGCAGCUUUUGAGAAAUUAUUUAAAAGUACAACCAAUUGAUGAAAAACUCAGAAAAAAUACUCAUCUAUCCACAAAUAUUCUUGUUAUCCUAAUUUCUAAAUCACAAACCCUAAUCUAUAGUAUUUCUCUAAAAAAUGAAAACUUUCCAAAAAUAGCAGUUUUUUAGAAAAUUAUUUUAAAUACUGUAGAACUGAUGAAAAAUUCUUAAAGUAUACUAAUCUAUCCACAAAUAUUCUUGUUAUCCUAAUUUCUAAAUCACAAACCCUAAUCUAUAGUAUUUCUCUAAAAAAUGAAAACUUUCCAAAAAUAGCAGUUUUUUAGAAAAUUAUUUUAAAUACUGUAGAACUGAUGAAAAAUUCUUAAAGUAUACUAAUCUAUCCACAAAUAUUCUUGUUAUCCUAAUUUCUAAAUCACAAACCCUAAUCUAUAGUAUUUCUCUAAAAAAUGAAAACUUUCCAAAAAUAGCAGUUUUUUAGAAAAUUAUUUUAAAUACUGUAGAACUGAUGAAAAAUUCUUAAAGUAUACUAAUCUAUCCACAAAUAUUCUUGUUAUCCUAAUUUCUAAAUCACAAACCCUAAUCUAUAGUAUUUCUCUAAAAAAUGAAAACUUUCCAAAAAUAGCAGUUUUUUAGAAAAUUAUUUUAAAUACUGUAGAACUGAUGAAAAAUUCUUAAAGUAUACUAAUCUAUCCACAAAUAUUCUUGUUAUCCUAAUUUCUAAAUCACAAACCCUAAUCUAUAGUAUUUCUCUAAAAAAUGAAAACUUUCCAAAAAUAGCAGUUUUUUAGAAAAUUAUUUUAAAUACUGUAGAACUGAUGAAAAAUUCUUAAAGUAUACUAAUCUAUCCACAAAUAUUCUUGUUAUCCUAAUUUCUAAAUCACAAACCCUAAUCUAUAGUAUUUCUCUAAAAAAUGAAAACUUUCCAAAAAUAGCAGUUUUUUAGAAAAUUAUUUUAAAUACUGUAGAACUGAUGAAAAAUUCUUAAAGUAUACUAAUCUAUCCACAAAUAUUCUUGUUAUCCUAAUUUCUAAAUCACAAACCCUAAUCUAUAGUAUUUCUCUAAAAAAUGAAAACUUUCCAAAAAUAGCAGUUUUUUAGAAAAUUAUUUUAAAUACUGUAGAACUGAUGAAAAAUUCUUAAAGUAUACUAAUCUAUCCACAAAUAUUCUUGUUAUCCUAAUUUCUAAAUCACAAACCCUAAUCUAUAGUAUUUCUCUAAAAAAUGAAAACUUUCCAAAAAUAGCAGUUUUUUAGAAAAUUAUUUUAAAUACUGUAGAACUGAUGAAAAAUUCUUAAAGUAUACUAAUCUAUCCACAAAUAUUCUUGUUAUCCUAAUUUCUAAAUCACAAACCCUAAUCUAUAGUAUUUCUCUAAAAAAUGAAAACUUUCCAAAAAUAGCAGUUUUUUAGAAAAUUAUUUUAAAUACUGUAGAACUGAUGAAAAAUUCUUAAAGUAUACUAAUCUAUCCACAAAUAUUCUUGUUAUCCUAAUUUCUAAAUCACAAACCCUAAUCUAUAGUAUUUCUCUAAAAAAUGAAAACUUUCCAAAAAUAGCAGUUUUUUAGAAAAUUAUUUUAAAUACUGUAGAACUGAUGAAAAAUUCUUAAAGUAUACUAAUCUAUCCACAAAUAUUCUUGUUAUCCUAAUUUCUAAAUCACAAACCCUAAUCUAUAGUAUUUCUCUAAAAAAUGAAAACUUUCCAAAAAUAGCAGUUUUUUAGAAAAUUAUUUUAAAUACUGUAGAACUGAUGAAAAAUUCUUAAAGUAUACUAAUCUAUCCACAAAUAUUCUUGUUAUCCUAAUUUCUAAAUCACAAACCCUAAUCUAUAGUAUUUCUCUAAAAAAUGAAAACUUUCCAAAAAUAGCAGUGUUUUAGAAAAUUAUUUAAAAAUACAACCUAUUGAUGAAAAACUCAGAAAAAAUACUCAUCUAUCCACAAAUAUUCUUGUUAUCCUAAUUUCUAAAUCACAAACCCUAAUCUACAGUAUUUUUCUAAAGAAUGAAACUUUUCAAAAAUAGCAACUUUUAAGAAAAUUAUUUAAAAAUACAACCUAUUGAUUGAAAAACUCAGAUAUUCUUGUUAUUUAAUAACAUUCAUCUAUGCACAAAUAUUUUUGGUUAUCCUAAUUUCUAAAUCAAAAACCCUAAUCUACAGUAUUUCUCUAAAAAAUGAAAACUUUCCAAAUAUAGCAGCUUUUAAGAAAAUUAUUUAAAAAUACAACCUAUUGAUGAAAAACUCAGAAAAAAUACUCAUCUAUCCACAAAUAUUCUUGCUAGUUUCAAAAUCACAAAACCUAAUCUACAAUAUUUCUCAAGAAAAUGAAAACUUUCCAAAAAUAGCAGUUUUUAAGAAAAUUAUUUAUAAAUACAACAUAUUCAUGAAAAAUUCUUAAAGAAUACUCAUAUAUCCAAAAAUAUUCUUGUUAUACUAGUUUCAAAAUCACAAAACCUAAUCUACAAUAUUUUUCAAGAAAAUGAAAACUUUCCAAAAAUAGCAGUUUUUAAGAAAAUUAUUUAUAAAUACAACAUAUUCAUGAAAAAUUCUUAAAGAAUACUCAUAUAUCCAAAAAUAUUCUUGUUAUACUAGUUUCAAAAUCACAAAACCUAAUCUACAAUAUUUUUCAAGAAAAUGAAAACUUUCCAAAAAUAGCAGUUUUUAAGAAAAUUAUUUAUAAAUACAACAUAUUCAUGAAAAAUUCUUAAAGAAUACUCAUAUAUCCAAAAAUAUUCUUGUUAUACUAGUUUCAAAAUCACAAAACCUAAUCUACAAUAUUUUUCAAGAAAAUGAAAACUUUCCAAAAAUAGCAGUUUUUAAGAAAAUUAUUUAAAAAUACAACCUAUUGAUGAAAAAAUCAGAAAGAAUACUCAUAUAUCCAAAAAUAUUCUUGUUAUCCUUAUUUCUAAAUCACAAACCCUAAUCUACAGUAUUUCUCUAAAAAAUGAAAACUUUCCAAAUAUAGCAGCUUUUAAGAAAAUUAUUUAAAAAUACAACCUAUUGAUGAAAAACUCACAAAAAAUACUCAUCUAUCCACAAAUAUUCUUGUUAUCCUAAUUUCUAAAUCACAAACCCUAAUUACAGUAUUUCUCUAAAAAAAUAAUAUAGCAGCUUUUAAGAAAAUUAUUUCAAUAUACAACCUAUUGAUUGAAAAAGUCAGAAAAAUACUCAUUUAUCCACAAAUUUUCUUGUUAUCCUAAUUUCUAAAUCACAAACCGUAAUCUACAGUAUUUUUCUAAAAAAUGUAAACUUUCCAAAAAUAGCAGUUUUUAAGAAAAUUAUUUAAAAAUGCAGCUUAUUGAUGAAAAACUUUAAAAAAAAUACUCAUCUAUGCACAAAUAUUCUUGUUAUCCUAAUUUCUAAAUCAAAAACACUAAUCUACAGUAUUUCUCUAAAAAAUGAAAACUUUCCAAAAAUAGCAAAUUUUUAGAAAAUUAUUUAAAAUACUGUAGAAUUGAUGAAAAAUUCUUUAAGUAUACUAAUCUAUCCAAAAAUAUUCUUGUUAUCCUAAUUUCCAAAUCACAAACCCUAAUCUAGAGUAUUUCUCUAAAAAAUGAAAACUUUUCAAAAAUAGCAGCUUUUAUAAUAAUUAUUUAAAAAUACAAACUACUGAUGAAAAACUCAGAAAAAAAUACUCAUCUAUCCACAAAUAUUCUUGUUAUCCUAAUGUUUAAAUCACAAACCCUAAUCUACAGUAUUUCUCUAAAAAAAUGAAAAAUUUCAAAAAAUAGAA